This 234-nucleotide unclassified non-coding RNA is filed under the name plant metagenome. RNAcentral's name for it is "partial contains small subunit ribosomal RNA, internal transcribed spacer 1, and 5.8S ribosomal RNA". The record is from RNAcentral.
UUUCCGUAGGUGAACCUGCGGAAGGAUCAUUAAAGUUAUAGUUCCCCGGCCCUCUGGGCUGGGGUCUUCUAUACCACCCUUCGUUUAUUACACCUUGAUUGCUUUGGCAGGCCUGCCCGCGGGCUGCUUGCUCCGGCCGGUGACCGUCUUUAAGAGAACCUUAACUCUGUUUUUACAUGAACUCUGAGUACUAUAUAAUAGUUAAAACUUUCAACAACGGAUCUCUUGGUUCUG